AUAAGAAAAUUGAAGAACCAGAAGAAAAUGAUGAAUUUGUACUUCUUCAGGUGGAAUGUUGCACUAUUUUAAGAAAAUGUUGCACUAUUUUAAAAAAAAAUUACACUCUUUGAUAGAAAUAAUAUACUUUUUUAGAUAAAAGUUAUACUUUUGAAACAAAAGUUGUACUUAUUGAACGAAAAUUGCACUAUUUGGAUAAAAAAUAC
RNAcentral lists this long non-coding RNA (206 nucleotides) under Ananas comosus (pineapple). RNAcentral's name for it is "long non-coding RNA (ACOM_LNC011355)". The record is from RNAcentral. Lineage: Eukaryota; Viridiplantae; Streptophyta; Magnoliopsida; Poales; Bromeliaceae.